GACGAACGCUGGCGGCGUGCUUAACACAUGCAAGUCGUACGGUAAGGCCCUUUCGGGGGUCCACGAGUGGCGAACGGGUGAGUAACACGUGAGUAACCUGCCCACAACUUUGGGAUAACGCUAGGAAACUGGUGCUAAUACUGGAUAUGUGCUCCUGCUGCAUGGUGGGGGUUGGAAAGCUCCGGCGGUUGUGGAUGGACUCGCGGCCUAUCAGCUUGUUGGUGGGGUAGUGGCCUACCAAGGCGGCGACGGGUAGCCGGCCUGAGAGGGUGACCGGCCACAUUGGGACUGGGAUACGGCCCAGACUCCUACGGGAGGCAGCAGUGGGGAAUAUUGCACAAUGGGCGCAAGCCUGAUGCAGCAACGCCGCGUGCGGGAUGACGGCCUUCGGGUUGUAAACCGCUUUCAGCAGGGACGAAGCUUUUUGUGACGGUACCUGCAGAAGAAGCACCGGCUAACUACGUG
This 465-nucleotide ribosomal RNA is filed under the name uncultured bacterium. RNAcentral describes it as "partial 16S ribosomal RNA". It matches the Rfam family "Bacterial small subunit ribosomal RNA", at positions 28 to 507 of the family's 1533-position model. The record is from RNAcentral.